RNAcentral lists this ribosomal RNA (253 nucleotides) under uncultured bacterium. Its description in RNAcentral is "partial 16S ribosomal RNA". It matches the Rfam family "Bacterial small subunit ribosomal RNA", at positions 524 to 776 of the family's 1533-position model. The record is from RNAcentral.
UACGUAGGGUGCAAGCGUUGUCCGGAAUUAUUGGGCGUAAAGAGCUCGUAGGCGGUUUGUCGCGUCUGCUGUGAAAAUCCAGGGCUUAACCCUGGACCUGCAGUGGGUACGGGCAGACUAGAGUGCGGUAGGGGAGAUCGGAAUUCCUGGUGUAGCGGUGAAAUGCGCAGAUAUCAGGAGGAACACCGGUGGCGAAGGCGGAUCUCUGGGCCGGCAUUGACGCUGAGGCGCGAAAGCCAGGGGAGCAAACGGG